Molecule: non-coding RNA, 84 nt
Filed under: unclassified sequences
Description: sucA.2008-01-16 RNA
Rfam family: SucA RNA motif
Source: RNAcentral
NNNCAUCCGCUAACCGGUUCAGCCGUGUCGGGGAGGUUUUUUUUCAACCAACUAAUGUUCCCUGCAGGGGAACGGAGGUCAGCG